This is a microRNA precursor of Rattus norvegicus (Norway rat), 104 nucleotides long. Lineage: Eukaryota; Metazoa; Chordata; Mammalia; Rodentia; Muridae. The record is from Ensembl.
GCUCAGGACUGCCCAGUGUGCAGUGGUGUGAGGAGGGGGCGUAUCCUAGGCAUCACACUACCUCUCCCUCCCCCUCACUGCACAGAGUUGGGCUGGUCACAGCC